Long non-coding RNA from Misgurnus anguillicaudatus (oriental weatherfish), 4765 nucleotides. RefSeq lists it as uncharacterized. The record is from RefSeq and is a predicted model, not a curated record. NCBI's taxonomy places the organism in Eukaryota, Metazoa, Chordata, Actinopteri, Cypriniformes, Cobitidae.
CAUAUCAGUGUUCACCGUGGGCGGUGUUUACGAACGUGCGCGUUGCUACGGUUGCGCGCCUGUCCCGAAGUUAACUUCCGGUUUGUGUUUGUUUUUGGUCUGGUUAGUGGCUUACAAUAUGGCGCCCACUACAAAAAAGGUUCGAAUUAAGAUAAUGAGUAGAAAGAAGUUGGGAUCGACUUGUAGUGCUCUAGGAUGCAACUUGACAUCUGGAACAAAUACGUUAUCGAAAAUCAAAAUGUAUCGGUAUCCUAAAGACGAAGACAGACGUCGAGCAUGGCUCACCGCGGUGCAAAGAGACGGAGAGGGUUUGCAGACACGCAAGAAUCUAAGGCUCUGUAGCAAUCACUUCAUUACAGGAGCACCAUCAGCGGAUCCAUGGAAUCCAGAUUAUGUUCCAUCAAUAUUCGCGCACAAAACCACCGCUGAUGGUUCACAGAAGCUGGAGCAAAAGCAGAUGAGACAGAAGAAAAAAUCUGUGGUUAAGUCCAAUGAUUCACCUUCUUUAGAGGUCUCUCAUACUGAUCCUAAUAAACAAUGCACGGCUGCGGAUCUUUCAAUGGCAGACAUUGACCGGCUACAAAAAGAAAACACUGAAUUAAAAAGAAAAGUGGCUGUACUGGAGAAGACACUGAAAUCUCAAGAAAAUGACUACAAGAUUGUAUGUUGGGCAGUGUGUCCGAAUUGCUUCUGUGUUUUUCAACCUCGUCCCUUACCUGACGACAAAGUGGAAAGCAUCAUCGACCAUCCUUGCCAUUCACGAGCAGUUUCUUGUGGUCCUGGUGAAGCUUCUUCUAGACUUAAAUAAAUUAAGAUCUAGCUUUUCACUUCUGAGUGAGUUGUGGAACUGUCCGGUGGCCGUCCAAAAAAGAUAUCAAAAGAAAUCUCCCCACGCUCUUCAAGACUACAGGUUACAAUAUAAUAGUGUGAAGUUCCUUGUUGGAAUCAGUCCCAACGGGAGCAUUUACAUUUAUAUCAAAAGUCUGGGGUGGUCUAUUAGGGAAAAGGUUAUAACAAAACAUUCCGGUUUGAUUUACCUUUUUUGACCAUUUAAUGGCUGAUCGAGGCUUCAUGUUUCCUAAUUAUUUUGCCAACAAAUGUGUUCAUCUUUAUGUACCAAUAAAACAAUUGAUAGGAUUUGAGGUGACACACUAGAAAAAAAAUCACAUGUGAGAAUCCAUGUGGAAAGGGCCAUAGGAAAAUUGAAGUCAUUUAACACCUUGCCAGUCAGUAUUGUUAUAUUAUAUGUUAAAAUGAUAAGUUUGCACAAUAGAUUUAUUGACAGAUUUAUUUACUGAUAAAUAAAGUUACUAAAGACUACAAUUUAUGUUGUUUCUACUGUAUUUAAUAUAAAAAGUGAAAAUGCUUAAAGUAAAACACCACAGUUAUCAAUAUUUUACUAUGUUCUUACCUCAACUUAAACAAAUUAAUACAUACCUAUCUUUUUUCAAUCCGUGCACUUAAUCUUUGCACAGCGUGUUGUGAAUGUGUUAGCAUUUAGCCUAGCCCCAUUCAUUCCUUAGGAUCCAAACAAGGAUGAACUUACUUGUGUAACUACUCAUGUAACAGUCUUUAGAUAGGGAAAACAUGGAAGUAUUUGGUGGCUUCUAAAUUCGUCCCUGUUUGGAUCCUAAAGAAUGAAUAGGGCUAGGCUAAAUGCUAACACAUUCACAGCUAGCUGUACAAAGAUAAAGUGCACGCAUUGAAUAAAGAUAGGUAUGUAUUAAUUUAAGUUGAAGUAAGAACUAGGGGUGGACGGUAAAUCGAUAACAAUAUGUGCUGCCGAUAACGGUAGAAACAAUUUCAACAUUCAAAUGGGUUAUUGUUUAGCUUAUAAUGUUAUAACUGGUUAUAGCUUGAUAAGAUUUGUUUUGUUUUGCAAUUGUAUAGUGAUCAUAUAUAAUUAUUUCUCAGUCUCUUUAUUAGCAUACAACCAGAACAUACAUGAAAUGUGUAUGUAGUAUUAUAAACAGUAUAAAAGUAUAAGCUGAUGUGUCAAGUAGGGUAAACAUAGGCAGCUGCAGGAUCUCUUAAACCUAAAUAAAAUUAAAUCCUAAUUUCUAAUUCUAAUCGAAUGACUUCAGGACUUCAGUCUCCUCAAAAAAGCUCAAGAUGUGUUUCAUGCCAAGAGAGGUCACACUAAAAUACUGACUGAUGCCUGAAGAAGACAUUUAGUUCUGAAAAUUGUUUAGUUUUUUUGUUUGUGUGCAUAUUUACUGUAUUUUUUGUUUCUUAAAAUCUUAAAAAAGAGUGAAAAAUAACUUUACUAAAACAACAAAGCUGGUGAAGACUUUUGCACAGUACUGCGUGAUCAAAUCAGGACACUAAAACAUGCAAAUGUUAUGACAACUGACAAAACUUGAUUUUUGCACAUGCGCAGUACAAUUCCUCGCUGCCUGAGAGGAGUGUGUUCGCAUUAUUAUGUGGAUUUUGUAACAAAAUUAAGUUUUAAUAUUACAUUACACACAGAUUCAUUCACAUUUAUUAAUUUAAAAGACGCUGAAUAACACACAAAAUAAUACACCGAGUUGAAGCUAGAACAGAAGGGUUUUCUUCAGAUGUUUUUUUUUAAGCUGAGGUGGACUCAAAAUUUGCAUUUGAAAGAUACAAACAUUAAAACUUAGCCCAUCACAGAUCAUUCUGCAUACCGAACAAAGCAGCGCAUUUCACUAAUGGGUACACAAAAGUUGAAAUGACGGAUGUCACAUUAAUGACACGUGUACCGCAUAUUUUAGUGAGGUUGGGGUGUAGGCUACAUUAUACACUUAAGUUUCUAGUUGAAACUCUUCUUGACUUAAUCAGUAAAUUUUUGUAAAAGCAAUUACAUGAUGACAGACUGAAACAUUGGAUAUAUUCAAAUCCACGGUGAGUCAAAGUGUAUGUAAACAUUUUGUAGCGAGGGAGACUCCACCUGGGAUUUGCAUGAUCGUGACUGGGUCAGACCUCUUGUGUGCGUCUGUCUUUGUAUGUGUACCUGGUAUCCAAGGUAGAACCAUCAUUAGUUAAUAUCACCGAGCAAUUUGAGCCACCCGUUAUGGUUACCCCCUUAUUGUAUUACAGUUCUGUCUGUCUGUGUACAAACAGGUGCACACGCAGAGCCUAAUAGACAUAAUGCGCAUCGUCAAUGAUCAUUAAAGUGAAUGCCUGGAUGUGCGCUAAUACACAUGGCCUCUCCCUUCACUGAGAUGGAAUGGUGCACGGUUGUCUUUUCUCUUUUAAUAUUCAGUGUUGUUACCCUGUAUGGCCUAAUACAGGAGAGGUGCAUUCAAACUGCAGACAACGAAGAUAGCAAAGAAAGACUUGAAGAGCUACUCAUCAUCAUCUGACUCGUGUCUGCAUUCAAUGGAACCAGAUUUGUAAAGAAGACUGUUCUGGGAUCAGUUAUGUUUUGUGUGUGUCAUCAAUCUAUUAAUCAAUGGACCUCUAAAGACUGAAGACUUGGCGUUGCAUAUCAUCGUAAUUUGUGGACACACUCAACUCUGUAACACUGUUCUGGGAACAGUCAACACACCUGACCUGCACGCAGCUGCUUAAAGUUCGCUUGAAACUGAUCACCUGGAUUGAAUCCAGCUGCAAACUCGGGUGAACAAUAAAGACGGCAUGUAUGUGUUGGGUGCAAAAGUAUGAAAAGUAUGUUUGAACGCGUUGACGUGGUUUAUAACAGCUGUAAGGAAGUGGGAAGAACUGGACCUUGAUUGCUGUGUGUGAGAAAGCUCGUAAAACGCAAGGCUUUAAAACUCAAGCAUGUUUCAUACGCUGUGUGUGGUAUAAAUGGAAUAAGUUCAAUCCUAUGAGGGAAAGCGAAAGAAGGUGUGUAAGAGUGUGUGUUUGUUAUGGAUCUGCCGUUUUCAGGAUUGGAGUUGGUUUUCAUCGUCAUUGCUUUCACUGUCAUGUGCUUAUUUGCCUUGGGUGCUAUCUACAGACAUCAUAGAAAUGAUCAAGAUGAUAUUCAGACAGAGCAGAGGAUUACACAUCGGAAGAAAAAAUCUAAGAAAAAACAACCCGGCAGCAAACUCAUUACAGACCUACCAUGAACAUACUGACAUACAUCUGAGUGCAGUUGACCAGAGGAUUGUGGGAUUGUCAGCAUACUUGAGCAGGCCAAGAGUGUGACGUCAUGCACUCUCCGAAAAAGUUACAAAAGCUGUAACUGGGGCAGUACCCUUUAAAAAAUAUACCUUUGUGCUUAAAGGGUGUGUAUUACUACCUCAAAGAUAAAUAUAGUGUUACCAAAUAAUACACAUUUGUACCGAAUUGCACUUAUUGUUACAUUUUUAAAAGGGUAUAUCGUCCCAGUGACAGCUUUUGUAUAUCUUUCUUUCUGACGGUGUGGUUUUGCAAAGGCCAUUUGUGAAGAUGCUGGAGCUUUGAAUUCAGUGUUAAAUCAAAUCAGAUUUAAAUUAUUUUAUUUUUAAUGUAUUUUUAAUAUUUUAGUGCAGUUUUCGUGUUUUUAUUGCUGCUAGACUGUGGGUGAGAAUGUAUUAAAUUAACAUUUGUAUUUAAUGUAUUAUCACAUAUUAGAAAAUGUACAAAUGUGAAAAUGUUUUUCUUUAAUUUGUUUAUAUACAACCUAUAUGAGUGCUGUCUUUAAUUUCCAUAUUGACUUUCAUAGAAGGAUUAAAGUUUACUGCAUGUGGAAGUCAAUGAGGCCUCUGAUCGGUUUGGUUAAAAAAUUUUGCAAAAUACCUUCCUUUGUGUUAAUCAGAACAAAGAAAUGUAUAUAGGUUUGUAACAACAUGAGAGUGAAUAAACAAUGACAAAUGCA